RNAcentral lists this ribosomal RNA (399 nucleotides) under uncultured bacterium. Its description in RNAcentral is "bacterial SSU rRNA". It matches the Rfam family "Bacterial small subunit ribosomal RNA", at positions 362 to 776 of the family's 1533-position model. The record is from RNAcentral.
UAUUGGACAAUGGUGGGAACCCUGAUCCAGCGACGCCGCGUGAGUGAAGAAGUAUCUCGGUAUGUAAAGUUCUAUCAGAAGGGAAGAAGAAAUUACGGUAACGCAGUAAGAAGCCCCGGCUAACUACGUGCCAGCAGCCGCGGUAAUACGUAGGGGGCAAGCGUUAUCCGGAAUUACUGGGUGUAAAGGGAGCGUAGACGGUGAUGUAAGUCUGGAGUGAAAGGCAGGGGCCCAACCCCCGGACUGCUCUGGAAACUAUGUGACUGGAGUGCAGGAGAGGUGAGCGGAAUUCCUAGUGUAGCGGUGAAAUGCGUAGAUAUUAGGAGGAACACCAGUGGCGAAGGCGGCUCACUGGACUGUAACUGACGUUGAGGCUCGAAAGCGUGGGGAGCAAACAGG